UUUUCGAAAACACUGUUGGUAUCAAUGUAUUUUGACAACUGUAGAAAUACUUGAUUGCCACGCCGACCAAACUACUGUCUGCCACUAGUGAGUAAGCCAACUAUGCUUAUUUAUCCUAUGUAUAUGCACGUAUUUGUGUAUAUAUAUCACUGAAUUCAAUAAAAAGACUAAGUUAAGUAUGGGUUUCAAGUGUGUAGUAUCUACUUGUGGAAAGUCCCGCAAACAUGCACUUUUGCAUCGGUUUCCUCUUUAUGUAAAUGUUAGAGAAGAAUGGUUUCGUAGAAUUGGUGACCCAAAACUGUUGGCAAUGAGCCAUAAACAAAUUGAUGCUAAACGACUCUGCACUGAACAUUUUAGUGAAACUUGUAGAUUUCCUGGGAGUUGGAUGGGGUCAAA
Long non-coding RNA from Ctenocephalides felis (cat flea), 396 nucleotides. RefSeq lists it as uncharacterized. The transcript has 3 exons. Lineage: Eukaryota; Metazoa; Arthropoda; Insecta; Siphonaptera; Pulicidae. The record is from RefSeq and is a predicted model, not a curated record.